Melozone crissalis (California towhee) is the source of this 402-nucleotide long non-coding RNA. RefSeq lists it as uncharacterized. The transcript is spliced from 3 exons. The record is from RefSeq and is a predicted model, not a curated record. Lineage: Eukaryota; Metazoa; Chordata; Aves; Passeriformes; Passerellidae.
UUUCUCUCCCUUCAUCCCUAGGUAUUUAAAAUGUGUCUUUGCAUUUCCUGCAUAACUGGAUCCUAGCUCAUUAAAGAUCUCCUGUGCUUUCCAGUGCCCCAGCAAAAUGUGGCUGCUCCAAAGAGCAGAGAUCCUGCAGAGGAGGCAGUGUCAGGAGUGUCUGAGAGAGAGAGAAUGCCUUCAAAUCAGUGACUUCAAAUGGAAUCCAAGAGAGAGUUAGUUCUGUUUGAGGGAGAUGGUUGUAACCUGUUAAGAGCCAGGUAAACUGCUGGUAUAAAUUGUUGCUGUGAAGUAUCUAAAUGAGUUUUCACCAGUGUUGAUGCUAAUGGAUUGCUGUCAUUUAGGCAAGAUUUCAGAAAGCCUUCCUCUAUACCAUAUGCUUCAGCAGAUGUAAUCUAUAAC